CUGGGUUUGACAUGCAGGGAAAUCUCAUAGAGAUAUGAGGUCCGCAAGGGUCCUGCACAGGUGGUGCAUGGCUGUCGUCAGCUCGUGUCGUGAGAUGUUGGGUUAAGUCCCGCAACGAGCGCAACCCUCGUUCUAUGUUGCCAGCGGAUUAUGCCGGGGACUCAUAGGAGACUGCCGGGGUCAACUCGGAGGAAGGUGGGGACGACGUCAAGUCAUCAUGCCCCUUAUGUCCAGGGCUGCACACAUGCUACAAUGGCUGGUACAAAGGGCAGCUAAACCGCAAGGUGGAGCGAAUCCCAAAAAGCCAGUCUCAGUUCGGAUUGGGGUCUGCAACUCGACCCCAUGAAGUCGGAGUCGCUAGUAAUCGCAGAUCAGCAACGCUGCGGUGAAUACGUUCCC
This 399-nucleotide ribosomal RNA is filed under the name uncultured bacterium. Its description in RNAcentral is "bacterial SSU rRNA". It matches the Rfam family "Bacterial small subunit ribosomal RNA", at positions 975 to 1375 of the family's 1533-position model. The record is from RNAcentral.